GUUCUUACGUGGUGCUCGUGUGUAGCAGAACAAACACUGAAUUAAUGAUGAUGGAUGAAUAAGCAAAUUAACUGAUUGCAAUCUACAUUUUACAGACAAGGACUGGAGGCGUAGAGUUGUUGAAUAAAUUGCCCUCAGUUACACAGCUAAGAAGGUGAAAAUGCUGGAAUUCAGAUAAAAAUUGGUCAGACUCUAAAUCCAGGAUCUGUGCCUAGCUGUCUGUGAUCCCUUGCUCAAACCCUUCCCAGGACAUCAUAAUUAGAAAGUGCUUUCUUCUUCUGAGCCGAAAUCUGUCUCCCCGGAGGUUCCAUUAAUAGGUUCAAGGUUCUUUCCCUUGGUGUCCGAGCAAAAGGAAGCAGCCCAAUGCUUUUCCGUAUUAGCUUCUUACUUAUGUGAAGGAAGUGCCAACCUCUGGGACUUUGAUUUUCUACAUACAGAAUCUGAGGCUCAGAGAGGGGCAGCGAUCUUAUGAAUCACCUGCAAGUUCUGGACCUGCGUUUAGAGUGUUGAGUGCUCAUUCAUGCAGUUCCCUGGGUUCCCACAGAAGAGAGAAGGUGGAUUUUUGAAAAGUGGGAUUCAGUGAACAGCAUUGCUGCAAAAUCACCUAAAUCGCCUUCCUGAGACUCUGUGUGGUGGGCAUGUCCUUAAUCUUUGGAAGCAGAGUGAGCUCCCUUCUACCCCUGCCUUGCCCAGGGAGCCUGAGGUCUGGGAUCAUUCAGGGAUUGCAACCUCCCACCUGAGUUUACUUUCACUCUGCAAAUAUUUGUCGGGAGGCUUUCCCACCCCUCAGCGAAAGCUCUGGCUCUACAGGUGUCCAUCAUAGGAUGCAAUCCUCCAAGCCCGUCCUCACUGGCCUCCUGGCCCCCGUCUCGUCACCCUCCAAGUUGCUGCUAUGGACACAGAUCAACCUCUGGGUGCAGCGCACCUGGCAGUGAGGUGUCAAGCGAGCCUUCAACCUCUCCCCACAUCAAUUUUCUCACCUUGACAUUGGGGAUCAGAGUGCCUAUUGUGUAUCCACUCAUCCAUUCAUUUCAAGCAUGUUCAUGGAGCACCCAUCACAUGUCUUCCAAGCAACGACAGAGGAGAUGUGAGGACCGACUGUAACAACCUAAGAAAGCACUGAGCAAAUGAGAGAUGCUCCACAUAUGUGGCUCUUUCACUUUCUCUUCUUUCCCAAAACACCAGUUUAUAAAUCAGCAUCACAGCUCCAAAGCCUCUGUGUGUCUUUUCCCCUGCCAAGGAUAAAGUCCAUAUUUCUUUGUUGACCUUUAACAUUUAAGAUAUCUAAGACAAAUCUAUCUAUCUAUUUAUUUAUGAAAAUUUAAGCUGUACACACCCUUUGACCACCUGGGGCCACUUCUUGGAAGUCCCCUACUUCCCAUUCCACCCCAGUAUAC
RNAcentral lists this long non-coding RNA (1397 nucleotides) under Homo sapiens (human). Its description in RNAcentral is "HSALNT0144753". The record is from RNAcentral. Lineage: Eukaryota; Metazoa; Chordata; Mammalia; Primates; Hominidae.